Molecule: unclassified non-coding RNA, 419 nt
Filed under: fungal sp.
Lineage: Eukaryota; Fungi
Description: partial internal transcribed spacer region
Rfam family: Eukaryotic small subunit ribosomal RNA (bases 1-46)
Source: RNAcentral
AAGUCGUAACAAGGUUUCCGUAGGUGAACCUGCGGAAGGAUCAUUAACACGUGAAUACCACGUAUUAACCAACGCGAACUGUUGCAUAUAUAUAUUCCUGUUGUCGGUGUUGAGUGAUGAGUGAGGGAAUGGUGUGAGAUUGGCAAUUCAUUGCUGAUUCUCUAACUCACUUGUCUAUCAGUGUGUCUAAUUUUAUUAGGCAUAACUGUAAACUUGCACUGGCAGCAGCAGAUGAGUUUCGGCAUCAGGCCUGCACCCUGGCCUGCUGUUGAAAUGACUAUAACCUUCACCCCUUUUUUUUUAUUAUUUAUUUCUGAUUUGUGCGUCUAUAUGAAUUCCUAGCUUCGGCUGGUUGAGUUUGUAUGGAUGUCGUAUAUACUAAUACGAAACAACUCUUAGCAACGGAUAUCUUGGUUCUC